CAGUGAGCUCUACCACCCCGAGUAAGGGGCCACGGCAGCAUCAGGAGGUCUCCCUUUUGGGAGACAAGACAACCCUGUUUAAUAUUUAAACAGCAGUGUUCCCA
Molecule: non-coding RNA, 104 nt
Organism: Mesocricetus auratus (golden hamster)
Lineage: Eukaryota; Metazoa; Chordata; Mammalia; Rodentia; Cricetidae
Source: Rfam